Molecule: ribosomal RNA, 167 nt
Filed under: uncultured bacterium
Lineage: Bacteria
Description: partial 16S rRNA
Rfam family: Bacterial small subunit ribosomal RNA
Source: RNAcentral
CAGUAGGGAAUCUUCCACAAUGGACGCAAGUCUGAUGGAGCAACGCCGCGUGAGUGAAGAAGAUCUUUGGAUCGUAAAACUCUGUUGUUAGAGAAGAACACGAGUGAGAGUAACUGUUCAUUCGAUGACGGUAUCUAACCAGCAAGUCACGGCUAACUACGNGCCAG